Molecule: unclassified non-coding RNA, 277 nt
Filed under: Hevea brasiliensis (rubber tree)
Lineage: Eukaryota; Viridiplantae; Streptophyta; Magnoliopsida; Malpighiales; Euphorbiaceae
Source: RNAcentral
AUAACUUUCAGUGGGGAGCCUAAAUUAGAAGGGCCAACCCUCUGUCUCAUCACCCGAGGGGAACCAGAUGUACUUCUUGGUGAUAGAGGAGGAGCACUUCCAGCAGGAAAUAUAGAAGGCAGUGAAUUGCUAGCAGAAGCAUGAGGACUAGAAGAAUUUCCAGGCACAUUCAAGGGUACACCAGCCUUUGCAUCGUUUAACAAUGACGUCACCAGACGAUUAGUGCCAGGAAGCGAAAGCCACUGCUCAAACAGCUUCUCAACAAAAUCAGGAUUGG